AUACCCNUGUUGUCCACCNCCGUACAACGAUGAAUGCCAGCUNUUGGGGUGCUUGCNNCCGNCAGUAGCGCAGGCUAACGNUUUGAGCAUUCCGCCUGGGGAGUACGGUCGGCAAGAUUAAAACUCAAAGGAAUUGAACGGGGGCCCGCACAANCGGUGGAGCAUGUGGUUUAAUUCGAAGCAACGCGCAGAACCUUACCAUCCUUUGACAUGGCGUGUUACCCAGAGAGAUUUGGGGUCCCCUUCGGGGGCGCGCACACAGGUGCUGCAUGGCUGUCGUCAGCUCGUGUCGUGAGAUGUUGGGUUAAGUCCCGCAACGAGCGCAACCCACGUCCUUAGUUGCCAUCAUUCAGUUGGGCACUCUAGGGAGACUGCCGGUGAUAAGCCGCGAGGAAGGUGUGGAUGACGUCAAGUCCUCAUGGCCCUUACGGGAUGGGCUACACACGUGCUACAAUGGCGGUGACAGUGGGACGCGAAGGAGCGAUCUGGAGCAAAUCCCCAAAAGCCGUCUCAGUUCGGAUUGCACUCUGCAACUCGAGUGCAUGAAGGCGGAAUCGCUAGUAAUCGUGGAUCAGCAUGCCACGGUGAAUACGUUCCCGGGCCUUGUACACACCGCCCGUCACACCAUGGGAGUUGGUCUUACCCGACGGCGCUNANNNNACCGGGGGGAGGCAGGCGACCUCNUNNUGUUCNCGCUCUG
RNAcentral lists this ribosomal RNA (700 nucleotides) under Methylobacterium sp. nah_2. RNAcentral's name for it is "partial 16S ribosomal RNA". It matches the Rfam family "Bacterial small subunit ribosomal RNA", at positions 782 to 1478 of the family's 1533-position model. The record is from RNAcentral. Lineage: Bacteria; Pseudomonadati; Pseudomonadota; Alphaproteobacteria; Hyphomicrobiales; Methylobacteriaceae.